GCUUGCUCCCAUAGCACAGAGAAAAUUGGGAGGGUGUCAGAAAGAUUAGCAUGGCCCCUGCACAAGGAUGAUGUGAAUUUGUGAAGCAUUCCAUUUUUUU
Small nuclear RNA from Equus asinus (donkey), 100 nucleotides. Lineage: Eukaryota; Metazoa; Chordata; Mammalia; Perissodactyla; Equidae. The record is from Ensembl.